GACGAACGCUGGCGGCGUGCUUAACACAUGCAAGUCGAACGGUAAGGCCCUUUCGGGGGUCCACGAGUGGCGAACGGGUGCGUAACACGUGGGUGAUCUGCCCUGCACUUUGGGAUAAGCCUGGGAAACUGGGUCUAAUACCGGAUAGGACUACGCGAUGCAUGGCGUGUGGUGGAAAGCUUUUGCGGUGUGGGAUGGGCCCGCGGCCUAUCAGCUUGUUGGUGGGGUGAUGGCCUACCAAGGCAACGACGGGUAGCCGGCCUGGGAGGGUGUCCGGCCACACUGGGACUGAGAUACGGCCCAGACUCCUACGGGAGGCAGCAGUGGGGAAUAUUGCACAAUGGGCGCAAGCCUGAUGCAGCGACGCCGCGUGGGGGAUGACGGCCUUCGGGUUGUAAACCCCUUUCAACAAAGACGAAGCGUAAGUGACGGUAUGUGCAGAAGAAGCACCGGCCAACUACGUG
This 464-nucleotide ribosomal RNA is filed under the name uncultured bacterium. RNAcentral describes it as "partial 16S ribosomal RNA". It matches the Rfam family "Bacterial small subunit ribosomal RNA", at positions 28 to 507 of the family's 1533-position model. The record is from RNAcentral.